Molecule: non-coding RNA, 253 nt
Filed under: uncultured Alphaproteobacteria bacterium
Lineage: Bacteria; Pseudomonadati; Pseudomonadota; Alphaproteobacteria
Also listed under: 1 other name
Description: contains 16S-23S intergenic spacer region
Rfam family: Bacterial small subunit ribosomal RNA
Source: RNAcentral
UACGAAGGGGGCUAGCGUUGUUCGGAAUUACUGGGCGUAAAGGGCGCGUAGGCGGCGCAUUAAGUCAGGUGUGAAAGCCCUGGGCUCAACCCAGGAAUAGCACUUGAUACUGAUGUGCUUGAAUUCGGGAGAGGAUGACGGAAUUCCCAGUGUAGAGGUGAAAUUCAUUGAUAUUGGGAAGAACACCAGUGGCGAAGGCGGUCAUCUGGCCCGUAAUUGACGCUGAGGCGCGAAAGCGUGGGGAGCAAACAGG